GCAAGUCGAACGGAAAGGCCCUUCGGGGUACUCGAGUGGCGAACGGGUGAGUAACACGUGGGUGAUCUGCCCUGCACUUUGGGAUAAGCCUGGGAAACUGGGUCUAAUACCGAAUAGGACCGCGCGCUUCAUGGUGUGUGGUGGAAAGCUUUUGCGGUGUGGGAUGGGCCCGCGGCCUAUCAGCUUGUUGGUGGGGUAAUGGCCUACCAAGGCGACGACGGGUAGCCGGCCUGAGAGGGUGACCGGCCACACUGGGACUGAGAUACGGCCCAGACUCCUACGGGAGGCAGCAGUGGGGAAUAUUGCACAAUGGGCGCAAGCCUGAUGCAGCGACGCCGCGUGAGGGAUGACGGCCUUCGGGUUGUAAACCUCUUUCACCAGGGACGAAGCGUAAGUGACGGUACCUGGAGAAGAAGCACCGGCCAACUACGUGCCAGCAGCCGCGGUAAA
Molecule: ribosomal RNA, 450 nt
Filed under: activated sludge bacterium KA3
Lineage: Bacteria
Description: bacterial SSU rRNA
Rfam family: Bacterial small subunit ribosomal RNA
Source: RNAcentral